AUGCAGUCGGGUCCCAGGAAUAAGGCCUUCCUCAACAAAAGGCUCGCCUGCUCACCUCCUGCAGGGGCCCCCACUUCCCAGCGAAACUGUCUCAUGAGAGGACAAAUGCUCAGGCUGGAGGCUGUUGUCUUGUCUUCAGCCAGGGCCUGGCCCAGAGGUGAGAAAACUAAGCCUUCUAGAGUUUAAACAACUUGUGGCUCUUGCUGAGCAGUUGACAUGUGACGGGAUUCACCCAAGGUCUGACUGACGCUGCUGAUACCUUGGAGUACUGAGAGUCCAGGUGAAGCAGGGUCUUUUCCAACGAGUCAGUUCUUCGCACCAGGUGGCCAAAGGAUUGGAGUUUCAGCUUCAGCAUCAGUCCUGCAGGACUGAUUUCCUUUCGGAUUGACAAAACAUGGCCCACUAGACAAGGGAAUGGCAAACCACUUCAGUAUUCUUGCCUUGAGAACCCCAUGUGAAAGUCGUUCAGGCAUGUCUGACUCUCCGUGACUCCACGGCUAUCCAGCCCAGGGAAUUCUCCAGGCCAGAAUGCUGGG
Molecule: long non-coding RNA, 536 nt
Organism: Bos taurus (domestic cattle)
Lineage: Eukaryota; Metazoa; Chordata; Mammalia; Artiodactyla; Bovidae
Source: Ensembl